CACGUAGGGGGCAAGCGUUGUCCGGAUUUAUUGGGCGUAAAGAGCUCGUAGGCGGUUCGGUAAGUUGGGUGUGAAACCUCCAGGCUCAACCUGGAGACGCCACCCGAUACUGCUGUGACUAGAGUCCGGUAGGGGAGCGUGGAAUUCCUGGUGUAGCGGUGAAAUGCGCAGAUAUCAGGAGGAACACCAGCGGCGAAGGCGGCGCUCUGGGCCGGAACUGACGCUGAGGAGCGAAAGCUAGGGGAGCAAACGGG
RNAcentral lists this ribosomal RNA (254 nucleotides) under uncultured bacterium. RNAcentral's name for it is "partial 16S ribosomal RNA". It matches the Rfam family "Bacterial small subunit ribosomal RNA", at positions 524 to 776 of the family's 1533-position model. The record is from RNAcentral.